AACGAACGCUGGCGGCGCGCUUAACACAUGCAAGUCGAACGAGAAGGCGUAGCAAUACGCUUGUACAGUGGCGAACGGGUGAGGAAUACAUGGGUAACCUACCCUCGAGUGGGGGAUAACCCGCCGAAAGGCGGGCUAAUACCGCGUACGCUUCCGAUCUUGCGGGAUUGGAAGGGAAAGCUGUCCCUUGGGGAUGGCGCUCAAGGAUGGGCUCAUGUCCUAUCAGCUUGUUGGAGGGUAACGGCCUCCCAAGGCAUCGACGGGUAGCUGGUCUGAGAGGACGAUCAGCCACACUGGCACUGCGACACGGGCCAGACUCCUACGGGAGGCAGCAGUGAGGAAUAUUGCGCAAUGGGCGAAAGCCUGACGCAGCGACGCCGCGUUGGGGGAUGAAGGUCUUCGGAUUGUAAACCCCUUUCGGGAGGGAAGACGGCCUUAGACAACUAAGGCGGACGGUACCUCCAGAAGCAGCCACGGCUAACUUCGUGCCAGCAGCCGCGGU
This 502-nucleotide ribosomal RNA is filed under the name uncultured bacterium. RNAcentral describes it as "bacterial SSU rRNA". It matches the Rfam family "Bacterial small subunit ribosomal RNA", at positions 29 to 521 of the family's 1533-position model. The record is from RNAcentral.